UGGAGGAUAGUUCAGUGGCAGAACAUGUGCUUAGCAUGUGCAAGGCCCUGGGUUCAAUCUCCAGCAUCAAA
Molecule: transfer RNA, 71 nt
Filed under: Marmota monax (woodchuck)
Lineage: Eukaryota; Metazoa; Chordata; Mammalia; Rodentia; Sciuridae
Description: tRNA.Ala
Source: RNAcentral